GUUUUGGUUAGUAUUAUUGGUUCUCUUAAAAGAAUGAGCUCUUCGAGUCAUUGGUCCAGAAAAUCGUGGACUAUUGACCCUCUGUGGAACGCCAUCAGUGGCGGUGGAGUGGUGAUGGCUAUGAUGGUUGUUAUGAUGAUGACCCAUUUCGUAUUAAUUAACAAGAAUUUGAAUACAUUAACUAUAGUUGUACGUGGUAAUUGGUAUAGAUUGGUCAGGAUCCAGAUGGGUGAAGUGAUAUUAUUGAAGAUGAUUAGGCAUUAAUG
This 266-nucleotide unclassified non-coding RNA is filed under the name Hevea brasiliensis (rubber tree). The record is from RNAcentral. Lineage: Eukaryota; Viridiplantae; Streptophyta; Magnoliopsida; Malpighiales; Euphorbiaceae.